Molecule: ribosomal RNA, 1096 nt
Filed under: Cercophora mirabilis
Lineage: Eukaryota; Fungi; Ascomycota; Sordariomycetes; Sordariales; Lasiosphaeriaceae
Description: eukaryotic LSU rRNA
Rfam family: Eukaryotic large subunit ribosomal RNA
Source: RNAcentral
GAAUACCCGCUGAACUUAAGCAUAUCAAUAAGCGGAGGAAAAGAAACCAACAGGGAUUGCCCUAGUAACGGCGAGUGAAGCGGCAACAGCUCAAAUUUGAAAUCUGGCUUCGGCCCGAGUUGUAAUUUGUAGAGGAAGCUUUUGGCGCGGCACCUACUGAGUCCCCUGGAACGGGGCGCCAGAGAGGGUGAGAGCCCCGUAUAGUGGGAUGCCUAGCCUGUGUAAAGCUCCUUCGACGAGUCGAGUAGUUUGGGAAUGCUGCUCAAAAUGGGAGGUAAAUUUCUUCUAAAGCUAAAUAUUGGCCAGAGACCGAUAGCGCACAAGUAGAGUGAUCGAAAGAUGAAAAGCACUUUGAAAAGAGGGUUAAACAGCACGUGAAAUUGUUGAAAGGGAAGCGCUUGUGACCAGACUUGCGCCCGGUUGAUCAUCCGGUGUUCUCACCGGUGCACUCCUCCGGGCUCAGGCCAGCAUCGGUUCUCGCGGGGGGAUAAAGGCCCAGGGAACGUAGCUCUUCCGGGAGUGUUAUAGCCCUGGGCGUCACGCCCUCGCGGGGACCGAGGUUCGCGCAUCUGCAAGGAUGCUGGCGUAAUGGUCAUCAGCGACCCGUCUUGAAACACGGACCAAGGAGUCAAGGUUUUGCGCGAGUGUUUGGGUGUAAAACCCGCACGCGUAAUGAAAGUGAACGUAGGUGAGAGCUUCGGGCGCAUCAUCGACCGAUCCUGAUGUAUUCGGAUGGAUUUGAGUAGGAGCGUUAAGCCUUGGACCCGAAAGAUGGUGAACUAUGCUUGGAUAGGGUGAAGCCAGAGGAAACUCUGGUGGAGGCUCGCAGCGGUUCUGACGUGCAAAUCGAUCGUCAAAUCUGAGCAUGGGGGCGAAAGACUAAUCGAACCAUCUAGUAGCUGGUUACCGCCGAAGUUUCCCUCAGGAUAGCAGUGUUGUUCUUCAGUUUUAUGAGGUAAAGCGAAUGAUUAGGGACUCGGGGGCGCUUUUUAGCCUUCAUCCAUUCUCAAACUUUAAAUAUGUAAGAAGCCCUUGUUACUUAAUUGAACGUGGGCAUUCGAAUGUACCAACACUAGUGGGCCAUUUUUGGUAAGCA